RNAcentral lists this ribosomal RNA (353 nucleotides) under uncultured soil bacterium. RNAcentral's name for it is "bacterial SSU rRNA". It matches the Rfam family "Bacterial small subunit ribosomal RNA", at positions 26 to 383 of the family's 1533-position model. The record is from RNAcentral.
AGAUUGAACGCUAGCGGGAUGCUUUACACAUGCAAGUCGAACGGCAGCGCGGACUUCGGUCUGGCGGCGAGUGGCGAACGGGUGAGUAAUAUAUCGGAACGUGCCCAGUAGCGGGGGAUAACUACGCGAAAGCGUGGCUAAUACCGCAUACGCCCUACGGGGGAAAGGGGGGAUCGCAAGACCUCUCACUAUUGGAGCGGCCGAUAUCAGAUUAGCUAGUUGGUGAGGUAAAGGCUCACCAAGGCGACGAUCUGUAGCUGGUUUGAGAGGACGACCAGCCACACUGGGACUGAGACACGGCCCAGACUCCUACGGGAGCAGCAGUGGGGAAUUUGGACAAGUGGGGGAAACCU